This 497-nucleotide ribosomal RNA is filed under the name uncultured bacterium. Its description in RNAcentral is "partial 16S ribosomal RNA". It matches the Rfam family "Bacterial small subunit ribosomal RNA", at positions 28 to 507 of the family's 1533-position model. The record is from RNAcentral.
GAUGAACGCUGGCGGCGUGCCUAAUACAUGCGAGUCGAGCGAACAGACGAGGAGCUUGCUCCUCUGACGUUAGCGGCGGACGGGUGAGUAACACGUGGAUAACCUACCUAUAAGACUGGGAUAACUUCGGGAAACCGGAGCUAAUACCGGAUAAUAUAUUGAACCGCAUGGUUCAAUAGUGAAAGACUGUUUUGCUGUCACUUAUAGAUGGAUCCGCGCCGCAUUAGCUAGUUGGUAAGGUAACGGCUUACCAAGGCAACGAUGCGUAGCCGACCUGAGAGGGUGAUCGGCCACACUGGAACUGAGACACGGUCAAGACUCCUACGGGAGGCAGCAGUAGGGAAUCUUCCGCAAUGGGCGAAAGCCUGACGGAGCAACGCCGCGUGAGUGAUGAAGGUCUUCGGAUCGUAAAACUCUGUUAUUAGGGAAGAACAAAUGAGUAAGUAACUAUGCACGUCUUGACGGUACCUAAUCAGAAAGCCACGGCUAACUACGUG